Chelonia mydas (Green sea turtle) is the source of this 193-nucleotide long non-coding RNA. RefSeq lists it as uncharacterized. The record is from RefSeq and is a predicted model, not a curated record. The transcript has 3 exons. NCBI's taxonomy places the organism in Eukaryota, Metazoa, Chordata, Testudines, Cheloniidae.
CUCUGGCAGCAGCCAGGCCGAUGGAGGCCACUGCUUUGUUCCAGGGACCCCCCUGGAUUCGGAGCAGGAGGAAGGGGUGCACAUGGCCAAAGAUGAAGCUGCUCUCAAGGUCAUCCGAGAGCAGCUCCAGUGCAGAGAUAAGGAUGAGGGACAGCAGCUCCUGUUCCUUCAGGCCAUCUACCCCGCAUGUCUG